UCCUUAUGGGCCUGGUUGAGGGCUACCGUGUGAACGGCGGCCCGGCUGGCGAGGGCCUGGACCCGCUGUACCCCGGCGAGUCGUUCGACCCCCUGGGCCUGGCUGACGACCCGGACACCUUCGCCGAGCUCAAGGUCAAGGAGAUCAAGAACGGCCGCCUGGCCAUGUUCUCCAUGUUCGGCUUCUUCGUGCAGGCCAUUGUGACCGGCAAGGGCCCGAUUGAGAACCUGAACGAUCACCUCGCCAACCCGGCCGUCAACAACGCCUUCGCCUUCGCCACCAAGUUCACCCCGAGCGCGUAAAUAUGCAACAUGCAGCUUUGCGACUGCGAUUUUGGCCUGCUGACGCUGGCAUUCGUGGAUUAGCGGAGUGUUAUCCGUGCGAGCGCU
RNAcentral lists this long non-coding RNA (389 nucleotides) under Volvox carteri. RNAcentral's name for it is "long non-coding RNA (VCAR_LNC001605)". Lineage: Eukaryota; Viridiplantae; Chlorophyta; Chlorophyceae; Chlamydomonadales; Volvocaceae. The record is from RNAcentral.